This 73-nucleotide transfer RNA is filed under the name Ips nitidus. Its description in RNAcentral is "tRNA-Met". It matches the Rfam family "tRNA". Rfam says of the family: Transfer RNA (tRNA) molecules are approximately 80 nucleotides in length. Their secondary structure includes four short double-helical elements and three loops (D, anti-codon, and T loops). Further hydrogen bonds mediate the characteristic L-shaped molecular structure. tRNAs have two regions of fundamental functional importance: the anti-codon, which is responsible for specific mRNA codon recognition, and the 3' end, to which the tRNAs corresponding amino acid is attached (by aminoacyl-tRNA synthetases). tRNAs cope with the degeneracy of the genetic code in two manners: having more than one tRNA (with a specific anti-codon) for a particular amino acid; and 'wobble' base-pairing, i.e. permitting non-standard base-pairing at the 3rd anti-codon position. The record is from RNAcentral. Lineage: Eukaryota; Metazoa; Arthropoda; Insecta; Coleoptera; Curculionidae.
AAAAAGAUAAGCUAAAAUUUUAAGCUAUUGGGCUCAUACCUCAAUUAUAAAGGUAAAAAUCCUUUUCUUUUUA